GACGAACGCUGGCGGCGUGCUUAACACAUGCAAGUCGAACGGAAAGGCCCUGCUUGCAGGGUACUCGAGUGGCGAACGGGUGAGUAACACGUGGGUGAUCUGCCCUGCACUUCGGGAUAAGCCUGGGAAACUGGGUCUAAUACCGGAUAGGAGCCAUUUUUAGUGUGAUGGUUGGAAAGUUUUUUCGGUGUAGGAUGAGCUCGCGGCCUAUCAGCUUGUUGGUGGGGUAAUGGCCUACCAAGGCGGCGACGGGUAGCCGGCCUGAGAGGGUGGACGGCCACAUUGGGACUGAGAUACGGCCCAGACACCGACGUGAGGGAGCAGUGGGGAAUAGUGCACGAUGGGCGCAAGCCUGAUGCAGCGACGCCGCGGGGGGGAUGACGGCCUUCGGGUUGUAAACCCAUUUCGCUAGGGACGAAGCUUUUUGUGACGGUACCUAGAUAAGAAGCCCCGGCUAACUACGUG
RNAcentral lists this ribosomal RNA (465 nucleotides) under uncultured bacterium. RNAcentral's name for it is "partial 16S ribosomal RNA". It matches the Rfam family "Bacterial small subunit ribosomal RNA", at positions 28 to 507 of the family's 1533-position model. The record is from RNAcentral.